This 62-nucleotide transfer RNA is filed under the name Heterosigma akashiwo. The record is from RNAcentral. Lineage: Eukaryota; Raphidophyceae; Chattonellales; Chattonellaceae.
AUCACACUUUUCUUCUAUCUCUCCAACAGCAGCACACAUAAUAAUUAUCAUAAUAACUAAUC